UGGGGAAUAUUGGACAAUGGGCGCAAGCCUGAUCCAGCAAUGCCGCGUGAGUGAUGAAGGCCUUAGGGUUGUAAAGCUCUUUCGCACGCGACGAUGAUGACGGUAGCGUGAGAAGAAGCCCCGGCUAACUUCGUGCCAGCAGCCGCGGUAAUACGAAGGGGGCUAGCGUUGUUCGGAAUUACUGGGCGUAAAGGGCGCGUAGGCGGCCUGUUUAGUCAGAAGUGAAAGCCCCGGGCUCAACCUGGGAAUAGCUUUUGAUACUGGCAGGCUUGAGUUCCGGAGAGGAUGGUGGAAUUCCCAGUGUAGAGGUGAAAUUCGUAGAUAUUGGGAAGAACACCGGUGGCGAAGGCGGCCAUCUGGACGGACACUGACGCUGAGGCGCGAAAGCGUGGGGAGCAAACAGGAUUAGAUACCCUGGUAGUCCACGCCGUAAACGNUGAAUGCUNGACGUCGGGUGCAUNCACUUCGGUGUCGCCGCUAACGCAUUAAGCAUUCCGCCUGGGGAGUACGGCCGCAAGGUUAAAACUCAAAGGAAUUGACGGGGUCAUAGCUGUUUCCU
Molecule: ribosomal RNA, 559 nt
Filed under: uncultured bacterium
Lineage: Bacteria
Description: partial 16S ribosomal RNA
Rfam family: Bacterial small subunit ribosomal RNA
Source: RNAcentral